This 800-nucleotide ribosomal RNA is filed under the name Alteromonas sp. RNAcentral describes it as "bacterial SSU rRNA". It matches the Rfam family "Bacterial small subunit ribosomal RNA", at positions 62 to 859 of the family's 1533-position model. The record is from RNAcentral. Lineage: Bacteria; Pseudomonadati; Pseudomonadota; Gammaproteobacteria; Alteromonadales; Alteromonadaceae.
UCGAACGGUAACAUUUCUAGCUUGCUAGAAGAUGACGAGUGGCGGACGGGUGAGUAAUGCUUGGGAACUUGCCUUUGCGAGGGGGAUAACAGUUGGAAACGACUGCUAAUACCGCAUAAUGUCUUCGGACCAAACGGGGCUUCGGCUCCGGCGCAAAGAGAGGCCCAAGUGAGAUUAGCUAGUUGGUAAGGUAACGGCUUACCAAGGCGACGAUCUCUAGCUGUUCUGAGAGGAAGAUCAGCCACACUGGGACUGAGACACGGCCCAGACUCCUACGGGAGGCAGCAGUGGGGAAUAUUGCACAAUGGGGGAAACCCUGAUGCAGCCAUGCCGCGUGUGUGAAGAAGGCCUUCGGGUUGUAAAGCACUUUCAGUUGUGAGGAAAAGUUAGUAGUUAAUACCUGCUAGCCGUGACGUUAACAACAGAAGAAGCACCGGCUAACUCCGUGCCAGCAGCCGCGGUAAUACGGAGGGUGCGAGCGUUAAUCGGAAUUACUGGGCGUAAAGCGCACGCAGGCGGUUUGUUAAGCUAGAUGUGAAAGCCCCGGGCUCAACCUGGGAUGGUCAUUUAGAACUGGCAGACUAGAGUCUUGGAGAGGGGAGUGGAAUUCCAGGUGUAGCGGUGAAAUGCGUAGAUAUCUGGAGGAACAUCAGUGGCGAAGGCGACUCCCUGGCCAAAGACUGACGCUCAUGUGCGAAAGUGUGGGUAGCGAACAGGAUUAGAUACCCUGGUAGUCCACACCGUAAACGCUGUCUACUAGCUGUGUGUGUCUUUAAGACGUGCGUAGCGAAGCUAACGCG